GAUGAAAGAACGCAGCGAAAUGCGAUACGUAAUGUGAAUUGCAGAAUUCAGUGAAUCAUCGAAUCUUUGAACGCAUAUUGCGCUCUCUGGUAUUCCGGAGAGCAUGCUUGUUUGAGUAUCAGUAAACACCUCAAAUCCUCUCUUCUUUUUGAAGAGGGAAUUGGACUUGAGCAAUCCCAACACUUGCAAGAGUGGCGGGUUGCUUGAAAUGCAGGUGCAGCUAGACUUUUCUCUGAGCUAAAAGCAUAUUUAUUUAAUCCCGUCAAACGGAUUAUUACUUUUGCUGCAGCUAACAUAAAGGAGAAUCGUUCUUAUGCUGACUGAUGCAGGAUUCACAGGUCGCUUCGGCAACUUGUAAACUCGAUCUCAAAUCAAGUAAGACUACCCGCUGAACUUAAGCAUAUCAAUAAGCGGAGGA
This 418-nucleotide unclassified non-coding RNA is filed under the name soil metagenome. Its description in RNAcentral is "partial contains 5.8S ribosomal RNA, internal transcribed spacer 2, and large subunit ribosomal RNA". The stretch from base 6 to 121 matches the Rfam family "5.8S ribosomal RNA", at positions 39 to 154 of the family's 154-position model. The record is from RNAcentral.